CCUACGGGUGGCAGCAGUGAGGAAUAUUGGUCAAUGGGCGUAAGCCUGAACCAGCCAAGUCGCGUGAGGGAUGAAGGUUCUAUGGAUCGUAAACCUCUUUUAUAAGGGAAUAAAGUGCGGGACGUGUCCCGUUUUGCAUGUACCUUAUGAAUAAGGAUCGGCUAACUCCGUGCCAGCAGCCGCGGUAAUACGGAGGAUCCGAGCGUUAUCCGGAGUUAUUGGGUGUAAAGGGUGCGUAGGCGGCCUUUUAAGGCAGCGGUGAAAGUCUGUGGCUCAACCAUAGAAUUGCCGUUGAUACUGGGAGGCUUGAGUAUGUUUGAGGCAGGCGGAAUGCGUGGUGUAGCGGUGAAAUGCUUAGAUAUCGCGCAGAACC
This 373-nucleotide ribosomal RNA is filed under the name uncultured bacterium. Its description in RNAcentral is "partial 16S ribosomal RNA". It matches the Rfam family "Bacterial small subunit ribosomal RNA", at positions 338 to 708 of the family's 1533-position model. The record is from RNAcentral.